Molecule: ribosomal RNA, 253 nt
Filed under: uncultured bacterium
Lineage: Bacteria
Description: partial 16S ribosomal RNA
Rfam family: Bacterial small subunit ribosomal RNA
Source: RNAcentral
UACGUAGGUGGCAAGCGUUGUCCGGAAUUAUUGGGCGUAAAGCGCGCGCAGGUGGUUCCUUAAGUCUGAUGUGAAAGCCCACGGCUCAACCGUGGAGGGUCAUUGGAAACUGGGGAACUUGAGUGCAGAAGAGGAAAGUGGAAUUCCAAGUGUAGCGGUGAAAUGCGUAGAUAUCUGGGGGAACACCGGUGGCGAAGGCGGCAUCCUGGACCAAUAUUGACGCUGAGGAGCGAAAGCUAGGGGAGCAAACGGG